Lontra canadensis (Northern American river otter) is the source of this 313-nucleotide long non-coding RNA. RefSeq lists it as uncharacterized. The transcript has 3 exons. The record is from RefSeq and is a predicted model, not a curated record. NCBI's taxonomy places the organism in Eukaryota, Metazoa, Chordata, Mammalia, Carnivora, Mustelidae.
GAAGUUUCUACUGAGAAUAGUGCCGUUCUCUGGUUUGGUGAGACCCGUGGAACCUGGAAACAGACAUAACCUCGAUGUAUGUAAGUAGUGAGAAUCCUAAUAUUCGUUCUUGGACAUGUAGAAAUGGAAGUGAUGGCAUUGGCUGGCAUCCAGGAUCCCAAACACCUCGCCCUUUGGAAAUGUCACUUGCCCUUUGGAGAUGUUCAUGGCAGAGCCCAAGUCCGGGGAAGCAGCAUAUACCUGGGGAAACUCUUCUUCCACCACCCAGUACCUAUUAGUCCAAAGCUACUUGAGCCCUGGGAAUGGCAAUGCC